Non-coding RNA from Gossypium hirsutum (cotton), 119 nucleotides. The record is from Rfam. NCBI's taxonomy places the organism in Eukaryota, Viridiplantae, Streptophyta, Magnoliopsida, Malvales, Malvaceae.
UGUUAAAAUUUUUAUCUAUUUGUACUGUUAAUACCUAGCGUGGUUGACGGAAUAAUCGGAUCUCAUGCUGACAUACAGGGAUCAGUUUUUAAUAGUAGAAAUAGAUGAAACUUUUAACA